This 254-nucleotide ribosomal RNA is filed under the name uncultured bacterium. Its description in RNAcentral is "partial 16S ribosomal RNA". It matches the Rfam family "Bacterial small subunit ribosomal RNA", at positions 524 to 776 of the family's 1533-position model. The record is from RNAcentral.
UACGGAGGGGGCAAGCGUUAUUCGGAAUUAUUGGGCGUAAAGAGCUCGUAGGCGGCUCAGUAAGUCAGGUGUGAAAACUCCAGGCUCAACCUGGAGACGCCACCUGAUACUGCUGUGGCUAGAGUCCGGUAGGGGAGCAUGGAAUUCCUGGUGUAGCGGUGAAAUGCGCAGAUAUCAGGAGGAACACCGGUGGCGAAGGCGGGUCUCUGGGCAGUUACUGACGCUGAGGAGCGAAAGCGUGGGGAGCGAACAGG